RNAcentral lists this ribosomal RNA (497 nucleotides) under uncultured bacterium. Its description in RNAcentral is "partial 16S ribosomal RNA". It matches the Rfam family "Bacterial small subunit ribosomal RNA", at positions 28 to 507 of the family's 1533-position model. The record is from RNAcentral.
GAUGAACGCUGGCGGCGUGCCUAAUACAUGCAAGUCGAGCGAACAGACGAGGAGCUUGCUCCUCUGACGUUAGCGGCGGACGGGGGAGUAACACGUGGAUAACCUACCUAUAAGACUGGGAUAACUUCGGGAAACCGGAGCUAAUACCGGAUAAUAUAUUGAACCGCAUGGUUCAAUAGUGAAAGACGGUUUUGCUGUCACUUAUAGAUGGAUCCGCGCCGCAUUAGCUAGUUGGUAAGGUAACGGCUUACCAAGGCAACGAUGCGUAGCCGACCUGAGAGGGUGAUCGGCCACACUGGAACUGAGACACCGUCCAGACUCCUACGGGAGGCAGCAGUAGGGAAUCUUCCGCAAUGGGCGAAAGCCUGACGGAGCAACGCCGCGUGAGUGAUGAAGGUCUUCGGAUCGUAAAACUCUGUUAUUAGGGAAGAACAAAUGUGUAAGUAACUAUGCACGUCUUGACGGUACCUAAUCAGAAAGCCACGGCUAACUACGUG